This 253-nucleotide ribosomal RNA is filed under the name uncultured bacterium. Its description in RNAcentral is "partial 16S ribosomal RNA". It matches the Rfam family "Bacterial small subunit ribosomal RNA", at positions 524 to 776 of the family's 1533-position model. The record is from RNAcentral.
UACGGAGGAGGCAAGCGUUAUCCGGAAUUAUUGGGCGUAAAGCGUCCGUAGGUGGCUAGUCAAGUCUGCGGUCAAAGACUGGGGCUUAACCCUGGAAAGGCCGUGGAAACUGACGAGCUAGAGUGCAGUAGGGGUAGAGGGAAUUCCCGGUGUAGCGGUGAAAUGCGUAGAGCUCGGGAAGAACAUCGGUGGCGAAAGCGCUCUACUGGACUGCAACUGACACUCAGGGACGAAAGCUAGGGGAGCGAACAGG